CAGCCGGAACCUGAGCGGGAGGAGAUGCAAGAGGAGCUGGAGGAGGAGUAGCAACGGGAGGAGGAGAAGCGACGGGAGGAGGAGUUGCUGGAGGUGGAGAAGCGACUGGGGGAGGUGUAGAGACUGGAGGAGGAGUAGCCGGAGGAGGAGAAGUUGUUACUGGUGGAGGAGCUGAGACAGGAGGAGGAGUGGCUGCUGGUGGCGGAGUUGUUGUAGUCGGUGGUGCUGGUGUGGUGGUUGGUGGUGAAGACGGAGCUUGACCUCCAACGCUGGCGAUGAGGACGAUACAGA
RNAcentral lists this long non-coding RNA (291 nucleotides) under Brassica rapa (field mustard). RNAcentral's name for it is "long non-coding RNA (BRAP_LNC004927)". The record is from RNAcentral. Lineage: Eukaryota; Viridiplantae; Streptophyta; Magnoliopsida; Brassicales; Brassicaceae.